RNAcentral lists this transfer-messenger RNA (347 nucleotides) under Pseudobdellovibrionaceae. RNAcentral describes it as "Bdellovibrio sp006874625 Standard tmRNA". It matches the Rfam family "transfer-messenger RNA". Rfam says of the family: Bacterial tmRNA, also known as 10Sa RNA or SsrA, is named for its dual tRNA and mRNA-like properties. Its role is to liberate the mRNA from a stalled ribosome. The record is from RNAcentral. Lineage: Bacteria; Pseudomonadati; Bdellovibrionota; Bdellovibrionia; Bdellovibrionales. RNAcentral also lists the same sequence under 1 other name.
GGGGGCGUACCGGCUUCGACGUGGGUGCUGAAACAUAAGGAGCAUACCGGGGCGCAUGAGGACCUCGUUAAAAACGUGCAUUUUGUAAUUGGCAACGAUUACGCACUUGCAGCUUAAUUAGCUCGCACGAUCAACCUUGAGGUGAUUCCGCUCUUGGAUUGAUCGUCAUUUAGGGAUCUCGGCUUCGUUGGUUAUCUCCAGCGACGAAGCUUAAAUAAAGCUGGGGGUGGGGUCUUACGAAUUUUGUUUCUGGAAGUCGUAAGAUCAACUUAAAACAGAAACUAAGUAUGUAGCGCCUUAUCGCGGAUCACUUGCGGACGGGGGUUCAAUUCCCCCCGCCUCCACCA